GGGUUGUGAGGUUAAGCGACUAAGCGUACACGGUGGAUGCCCUGGCAGUCAGAGGCGAUGAAGGACGUGCUAAUCUGCGAUAAGCGUCGGUAAGGUGAUAUGAACCGUUAUAACCGGCGAUUUCCGAAUGGGGAAACCCAGUGUGUUUCGACACACUAUCAUUAACUGAAUCCAUAGGUUAAUGAGGCGAACCGGGGGAACUGAAACAUCUAAGUACCCCGAG
Molecule: ribosomal RNA, 223 nt
Filed under: Escherichia coli
Lineage: Bacteria; Pseudomonadati; Pseudomonadota; Gammaproteobacteria; Enterobacterales; Enterobacteriaceae
Also listed under: 1 other name
Description: partial 23S ribosomal RNA
Rfam family: Bacterial large subunit ribosomal RNA
Source: RNAcentral